GGAAGCAAUUGGUGCAGAUUGUGGCUCACUUAUCUUCAGACAACAAUUUACAAAGUCUGUUGGUGGGCAAAGGCAAAUAAGAAACCAGUGCAAGAGCAGCUCGCGGGGCAUUUCGAGCUACUGAAUAAGCUCGGGUAGACACCUGCUUGACAACUGGGGGAGCAUAGCGAAGUACAAGAGUGACAGAUGCAUCAACCUGGUUGUCUGCAAACUUGAGAACCUUAUUGGGAACAUCAUGGAACCUGUAAUAGAAAGGUCUAACCACGCUCUUAAUCGUAACCUCAGCAGUGUCAACACCAGGUUUCAAUGGACCAGACUUGUCCUUGACAAAAAGAUAGAGCUUUGAGGAAGAAACCAAGGCUAAAAC
RNAcentral lists this unclassified non-coding RNA (367 nucleotides) under Hevea brasiliensis (rubber tree). Lineage: Eukaryota; Viridiplantae; Streptophyta; Magnoliopsida; Malpighiales; Euphorbiaceae. The record is from RNAcentral.